RNA transcript from Callithrix jacchus (white-tufted-ear marmoset), 9782 nucleotides. It is a transcript of the gene named cAMP and cAMP-inhibited cGMP 3',5'-cyclic phosphodiesterase 10A-like, with no coding region annotated. The record is from RefSeq and is a predicted model, not a curated record. NCBI's taxonomy places the organism in Eukaryota, Metazoa, Chordata, Mammalia, Primates, Cebidae.
UGGUGGCGGCGAUGCUGGCAGAGGAGGAGGAGGAGGAGAAGAAGAAGAAGAGGCAGCUCCCUUGAGCGUCCCCAGCAGCAGUAGUCACCGCGGCGACGGUGGGAGCGGCGGCUUCUUCCUCUCACCUGCGCUCCAGGGCUUGCUGCUCCCAGCCUGUGCGGGCUCCCCGGUUUCCCCGCCGCCAUGUGGCGGCGGCCAAACUCCGCGGCGUCCCCUGGGCUCCGGCUUCGCCCUCUCCGCCGUGGCCGCGCGGCUUUUCGGCUCCGACAUGGAAGACGGACCUUCUAAUAAUGCGAGCUGCUUCCGAAGGCUGACCGAGUGCUUCCUGAGCACCAAAGCUAAUGGCUUGACCGAUGAAAAAGUGAAGGCAUGUCUCUCUCUUCACCCCCAGGUAUUAGAUGAAUUUGUAUCUGAAAGUGUUAGUGCAGAGACAGUAGAGAAAUGGCUGAAGAGGAAGAACAACAAAUCAGAAGAUGAAUCGGCUCCUAAGGAAGUCAGCAGGUACCAAGAUACGAAUCUGCAGGGAGUUGUAUAUGAACUAAACAGCUACAUAGAACAAUGGCUGGAUGCAGGAGGAGACAACCAGCUACUCCUCUAUGAACUGAGCAGCAUCAUAAAAAUAGCCACGAACGCUGAUGGAUUUGCACUGUAUUUCCUUGGAGAGUGCAAUAAUAGCCUGUGCAUAUUCACACCACCUGGGAUAAAGGAAGGAAAACCCCGCCUCAUCCCUGCUGGGCCCAUCACCCAGGGCACCAUCAUCUCUGCUUAUGUGGUCAAGUCCAGGAAAACACUGCUAGUAGAAGACAUCCCUGGGGAUGUCUUCCACGAGGUAUUGGACUGGAAUCAGGGACUCACAUCCAGUCUGUUCUUUGCCUGUCUUAGUCACCAAGAGGUUGCAACAGCAAAUCUUGCCUGGGCUUCAGUAUCAGGUGCAGUAUCAGGUGCAGGUAUGCAGAGGCCUUGCCAAACAGACUGAAUUGAAUGACUUUCUACUCGAUGUAUCAAAAAUGUAUUUUGAUAACAUAGUUGCAAUAGAUUCUCUACUUGAACACAUAAUGAUAUAUGCAAAAAACCUGGUGAAUGCCGAUCAUUGUGCACUUUUCCAGGUAGACCAUAAGAACAAGGAGUUAUAUUCAGACCUUUUUGAUACUGGAGAGGAAAAGGAAGGAAUACCUGUCUUCAGGAAGACCAGAGAGAUCAGAUUUUCAAUAGAGAAAGGAAUUACUGGUCAAGUAGCAAGAACAGGGGAAGUCCUGAACAUUUGAGAUGCCUAUGCAGACCCACACUGUAACAUAGAGUAGUAGACUUGUACACAGGCUACACCACGCGGAACAUCCUGUGCAUGCCCAUCGUCAGCCGAGGAAGUGUGAUAGGUAUUGUGCAAAUGGUCAGUAAAAUAAGUGGCAGUGCCUUCUCUAUAACAGAUGAAAACAACUUAAAAAUGUUUGUCGUCUUUUGUGCUUUAGCGUAACACCGUGUAAUAUGUAUCAUAGAAUUCGUCACUCAGAGUGCAUUUACCAGGUAACAAUGGAAAAGCUGUCCUACCAUAGCAUUUGUACUGCAGAAGAGUGGCAAGGCCUCAUGCGAUUCACCCUUCCCGUGCAUCUCUGCAAAGAAACUGAAUUAUUCCACGUUGACAUUGGUCCUUUUCAAAACAUGUGGCCUGGAAUUUUUGUCUGUAUGGUUCAUCGGUCCUGGUUGAGCUUGAAAGGUUGUGUCGUUUUAUUAUGUCUGUGAAGAAGAACUACUGGCGAGUUCCCUAUCACAACUAGAAGCAUGCAGUCACUGUGGCGCAGAGCAUGUACACCAUACUUCAGACCUUGAGCGCAAAGGACUGUUGAUUGCGUGUCUGUGCCAUGACCUGGACCACAGGGGCUUUAGUAACAGCUACCUGCAGAAGUUAGACCACCCUCUGGCAGCUCUCUACACCUCCAACAUGGAGCAGCACCACUUCUCCCAGACGGUGUCCAUCCUCCAAUUGGAAGGGCACAAUAUCUUCUCCACCUUGAGCUCCAGUGAAUAUGAGCGGAUGCUUGAGAUCAUCCACAAAACCAUCAUUGCCACAGACCUUGCUUUAUACUUUGGAAACAGGAAACAGUUGGAGGAGCCCUACCAGACUGGAUCGCUAAACCUUAAUAAUCAAUCACAUAGAGACCGUGUAAUUGGUUUGAUGAUGACUGCCUGUGAUCUUUGUUCUGUGACAAAACUGUGGCCUGCUACAAAAUUGACGGGAAAUGAUACAUAUGCAGAAUUCUGGGCUCAGGGUGAUGAAAUGGAGAAAUCGUGAAGACAGCCUGUUCCUCUGAUGGACAGAGACAAGAAGGAUGAAGUCCCACAAGGCCAGCGUGGGUUCUACAAUGCCGUAGCCAUUCCCUGCUGUACAACCCUUACCCAGAUCCUGCCUCCCACGAAGCCUCUCCUGAAAGCAUGCAGAUAUAAUCUCAGUCAGUGGGGGAAGGUGAUUCGAGGGGAGGAGACUGCAACUUGGAUUUCAUCCCCUUCCGUGGCUCAGAAGGCAGCUACAUGUGAAGACUGAGCUCUGAUCACCUGACACGCCAUCCCACCCACAGAUCCUCAUCUUGCUUCUUUGACAUUUUUUCCUUUUUUUGGGGGGGGUGGGGGGAACCUACACCUGGUAACUGGGGUGUAGACCUCUUCGAGAAGGUAACAUCAAGUAAAUAAGUCAAGCAAAGGACUUCCUGCCAGUCUCUUCUGUGAGGCGUCAUAGACACUGAACAACCAGGACUACCCCAUGUUCAGAAAUCAGCUGGCCAAGUGACUUGCAAGCCAGCCUUUUCUAAUAGGCUGAUAUUGUUGAGGCUUUAAUGGAAGUGGACAAAAAUUCAGAAGGGCAGGCAUGCGCGCUCCCUUCUGGGCUAGCAGUUGCGGGGCGCGCGCCUGGGCCAGCCGUUAGCUGUUUCGGUUUGAGCAUAAACGGCCAGUCUUGAAUACCCAAUGCAGGAUUUCCAGCGGGGGCGCACAAACCUGGGGAGGGCAGAUGGAAGCCGCAGGGACUCUAAAGGCAGCCCCAGGCUGGCUAAAGCGGCCGCUGGUUCAGAAACCCAGGCCUGAGUGCUCGGGCUCCACCUGGCCUGGUUCAGCUCACGACCCACGCAGCUCUGGAUUCCAGGCAGGAAGCUCAAGGGUCAGGGAAACACCUCUGCUGGUGAAUUAUUCACCCCGCAUUGAGUUAUCGUGACGCCCUGUGGCUUUGGGAAACCUCUCCACAACCAAGUGGAGCCACAGCUCUCCGCUAACGAGACGUCUCACUCUCGCCCAGGAUGGAGUGCAGUAGAGCGACCUCGGCUUACUGCAACAUCCGCCUCCCGGGUUCAAGUGAUUCUCCUGCCUCAGCUUCCCAGGUAGCUGGGACUACAGUCGUCGGCCACUACAUCCGGCUGGCCUAGAAUUUCUGAGUGAAACGAUUGCUUAAGAUUUUAGAAUCAGUUCCCCUUAUUCUUGUUCUCUCUGCAGUUAGAAAAACAAUGUCUAACCCAGCAAUGAGCUUUUGACGGAAUGUCUCAUUUUAAAAGGAAUAUGAGAUCAUUGAGUUGGACCCAGAGAAACAACUCAAAGAAAACUUCCAUUAAUGAGAACCCAAAAGCUGAUGGCCAGACAAAAGGAUGAGAGGAAAUGCUGGAUCUCCAGUUUCUUAUUAAUGGCUCAGUUUUUGAUGUUGUUGGUGGUGGUUUGUUUGUUUUUGAGCUUUCAAAAUGUAUUUUAAUCUCAUUCCAAAAAGAAAAUUUCUAGAGACUAUAUAUAUAUAUGUCAGAAGGGGUACUUCUCCAUUGUAUCUUUCUACUAAGGAUUGGUACUAUUAUGGUAUUGUACUCGGGCUCUGACAUCAAUGUUGCUUUGAUGUUGUUGGUUAUAAAUAGGAAUUUUUACACGUUACUAUCGUGAAUGUUCAUGUGUGACCUACUUGUAAUUAACUUGAGAUGUAACCCAAAGCCUCAGGACAAAUGUCCUUUGGUUUGAGGUUAUAGAGUAAGCAGUGAUGGGAAAACGUCAAAUUCUUAUUUCAGAGCUUCAUGAAUUUAGACAGUCAGACUAUAAGUUAAAACUAAAGGGCUGAGAUGAAUACAUUUAACACUAAAAGAAGUAGACCUUAAGAGAUGAGGUAUGCGUUACAACAAAUCUCAGAACUUCAAGCAUCAGUUCAAAAGAUGACAAUUUUUAAAUUUUUUUCAUUGAUGUCUUGGCAAUUUUACUGAACCCUUUGCGUAAAGAACAAAAUAAAAGCAAGGCAUUGUAAAAUUUUUUUAAUAGACAACUCUUAUGGAUAUAAAGUGUAAAUUUUUCAUAAUGAUUUCUUUAUAUUUUCACUGUGUCAUUGCAGAAUUUUAGACUCAUAUUCACAAUGAAAGGUUUAUUCGUAACGUUGUUUAAUUAAAGUAUCACACAUUUCUUUUUUAAACAUCAAACCAUAAAAUGUGUCUUGUGAUUUUACUUUGACCUGCUGCAUUCACCUCUCAUGUAUCUCUUUCCACAUGCUGCAUGGUCAUAUUUCAUGAGCUUUCUGUCCAUAGCACAGAAACAAAAGCAGGAAGUAGUACAGUCAUGUUGGACCUUCCUUCCGUUCUCUUUACUCUUCUCGCAGAUCAAAUCAUUCCAUAGAAACCUGUGGUUUCUUCUAUAUGGCUUUUGGGUUGACUAGCAUUACUAUACAAUGUAAGUGUUUUGAACAAUACAAAAAUAAUACUCUGCACCCCUUCCUACAGAGAUUGUAAGGUAGUCACUUCUGGUGCGUAUUAAUACUUUAAAGAUUUUUAGCACAAUGACACAGUAACUUCCAACCCUGUUCUAACCUGAAGGAAUCAGAGACUCAGGAAGUGAAAGGCCAAUCAUAACAGAUAACUUACUCACUUUUCAUGUGGCAGGAAACUGGAAUAUCACUUUUAAUAAAAUAAAAUUGAAAAAAUGCUUCUACAUAUUUAAUACCAUAGGCAUUUUGUUCAGAUGAGCCUGGUUUGUGCAAAAUUAAAUCAGAGGCUUCUACAACAUGGUUUAUUUAUGUUGGCUCUACAUAAGCACUGUUCUUAUUUUAAAAUUAACACUAUGUGUUCAGUUUUCUUCUGGGCUUCUGAAAGUUGCCAUCUUCCCUACAUGGAGCUCCAUUUGCUAUUUUAAUUAUACACUAUGACAUAAAAUGUAAUAACUAAAGAAAGAGAAAUACCACUGUGGCUAGAUGUAUACACACACACAUAUAUAUGGAAGGAUGUAAUAUAUGUAAAACACAUACAUAGAUGUAUAUAGGAUGCACAGUCAUAUGUACGUAGACAUAUACAUACGUGUAUAUAUGAUACACACAUGGAUGAGAGACAGAAGGAAAGGAAGAGAGAAGCAAACAUGUUGGAAAAAAUAUAAAUCAGCCUGUUCUUCCAUUCCUUAAAAACAAUGACUUUGCUUGAUAGAAAAUACAUAUUACUUGAUAGUUGACAAGGAAGUGUCAUUUUUUGUUAGUGUAUUCAUAUAAUUGAAUUUGAACAAGUUACAUAUUUUUCUGCAUACAAAUUUAUGAAGCUGGAUUCUACCAAAUACAUCUUAAUUCACAAAAGUUAAUUUAGUCAUCUAAUUUAACUUGGGAAAGGAUAUGUUAUUUAAUAUUAUUGUUUAAUUACAAAAAUCUUUAAAGAAUAUAUGAAUUCUGUUUUUUAAUGUAGAAAUAAUUAUGGAGUUAGGACUCUCAUGGCUACUUUUACAUUUUUAGGUUGAUUAUUACAGAAAAUUCUCUUAAUUUAUUAUAGGCAAGUGUAUUAUAUAAUCUCUGUUUUGAACAGUUUCCCAAAGGAAUGUGAUUGGAUUUACUGGUUGGUUAAUUUCUUGUGAAAUAUUGUCAUAGUAGAAGCACAGCUUGAACGAAAGACUGUAUUUUGAUAUAAACUGUCAGUAUUGCUUUUACCAUGUGUAAGAUUUACUUAAUAAUCACAGAUGUAUGUAAAAUAAAAGGACCCAGGAUGCAGGAAUAUUUAAUAAUUUGUUUUGAAAAACAUGCAGUUAGGAAUAUUUUUGUAUUUUAUCAGAUAUGUUUAGCAGACAAACAUCUGAGUUCUAUUUCUUGUCUUUUUCCCAGAUCUUUUCUUAAAAGAAAAAUAUGACACCAGAAGCCAAGAGAUGGUUUUUACUAACAACAGCUUUGAUGAGUUGUUAUUAAGGUCAUACUGUGUAUUGUGCCAAAUUUUCCACCAGUGUAAAUUUAGUAACCAGCUAUGAGGAUAUGUAGGAUAUUCAAUUUGCAGAAAUUUAUAUUGGCUAUGUUGAUUUGUAAUAGACAAGUUUUAUAGUCAUAUGCAAUUAUUUUAUUACCUUUUGGACAUAGCGAAUAUGUUUUUUAUCUAAAAAUGUCCUUAGAAACAUAAAUGCCUGCCAAUAACAUGAAAUAUUGAAUUUGGGAAAUGUGAAUUAAUUAAUUAGAAAAGGGUCAAAGAAAAUGCAAUGGAUGUGGAAACUAAUUCUUAAAAACAGCCCUAUUAGUAGGGCAGGAACUCUGAUCCAUUUCCCACCUGUGCUUCUCUCUAAGAGGUGUAGGAAAAACCCAUCUUGCAAAAUAGACCAAAAUAUUAAGACACACAAAAAAUAAAUAAAGACAUGGCUAAUAUUUCUACUGAUAAAGACUCUUCCUUUAAAAAGAGCUUAGUAAUAUGGCAGAAUGAACUUUAAACAGUUAGAAUCAAGAAUUGAUGUCCACAUAUUAUAUUUGCCCAAUACUGGCCUCUAUUUCCUGGGACCCCCUAGCUCGGAACUUUGACUCACAUUGCUGCAGCUUGGCUUUCUUUCAUUUAACAGGAAGUCAGCUCCUUGGUUAUUUUCCUAAGCUACAAAGGAGGGCAGAUAGCUCUGCUUCCUACUGCCUUAAGUCUUCAACUUGUUCAAAUUCCUAUAUCUAGUUGAUGGCAUCCUAGGCAAAUAUUGUAUUGUACAACAACCGUUUUGCGUUCACUGUUGGAUGAGAGAAACAAACAAAAAUCCCACAAAAACAAACAAACAAUGCAUCAUAUGACAAGCUGCCCUCCAAAAUGUUUUCCCUUUUCUCCAGCAGUAAAAUGGGGAUAAUACCCAUACACAUCUACCACACUGGGUAUUUUCAGAUAAAAGACACAAUAAAUAUAAAGGGAUUUUGGAAUUAGAAGAGAUAUAUAAACACAAAAAUUAUUAUAUCACCAGCAGGUGAUAGGAUGUGCAUUAGAAAUAUCUGCAUCUUUAUCAAGAUAGUAGAUACUGGCGAUAGUAAAUGAGGUUAGUUGGUUGGACCAGCUGAACUUCUAAAAGGUGAUAGAGUAAAAAAUCAGAGUUUUGGUAUACUCAGUUUAGAUUAAUAAGAGACACUUUUAUUUAUCUCAUAAAAUUAAUGUAUUCAAAUUGAAUAGGUAACCCUAGCAAACUACUUAAAAUACUGGUGCAGGCCAAAAAAGAUAGGCAAGAAUCUGUGUAUAGUUCGUUCACUGUUCAUCCUCACUUCCGUAAAGGAGAUUCAGAGCUCAUUCAUUAAUUUUUCCAUUCAUCCAACAACUAUAUAUAUUUCAGGAGCUAGUGCUAUGUGACAGACUUUCUGCCUUGUCCCAGAGACAGAGUAGUGAGCAGAAAGAGCCACAUCCCUUCCAUCAUGAAAAGUGUAGUCCAAGAGGAAAGCAGACAUUAAUUAAAUAGUCAUACUAAUGAAUUAAUUAUUUCAAAUGGAGUUAAGUGCUUUCAAAAAGAGGGGAAUGUGGUACUGUAAGAAUUGGUAGCACAGUACAUAAUGUAGAGGUUGGGAAAGAUUUCCCUAAGGAAAUGAAUGAUCAAUUCAAAGGCUAAUGAACAAGACUUGGCUAGGGAAAGGAGGUGUGUAGGGAGCAUUCUAAGCAGGGAAAACGGACAUUACUUUCGUACUGGCAUUCUUGCCAUCCCGAGAGCCAGAGGGUAUGUGGGUUAAGAUAAGAAUGAAGAGAGGCAGAGAUGACAGACUGUAAAAUACCUUCAAGGCUCUGCCAAAGAUUUCAGUCUUUCUCAUAAGAGAAAUGGAAAGGCAUUGAAUGGUUUAAGGGUUUGGUGGUGAUAGGAUGAAGGAGUAAUCACUUGGUUUGUGAUUUAAAAUAUCUUCUGAUUUGGGGGACAAAAUGAAUUCGAUUGAGCCCAGUAGACAUAAGGAAAUCAAAAAUAAGACUGUUAUAGGCAAGAGGUGACAGUAGCUUAGACUAAGGUAUUAGCAGGUCAUUCAGAGACUAGUUGCCAGAUUUCAGGGUUACCUGUGAUUUGCUGCUGCAUGUUGGAUGUAGAUUUCAGGAGGAAGAUUAAGGAAGCUUCCCAGACCUCAAACACCUCAAGUCCACCGAGGUGCUCAUAUGAUAUUAUUCUACAAAGAGUGAACAUUUGCUGAUAGACCUGAUUUCUUUGCUACCUGUUUUAUAGAUUUAAUACACAGUAGUGUGCUCUCUCUAUGCCAAUGUUUGUGACAGUUAAAUAAAUUUGGUCCUUGCCUACCAACUGCUUAGUUCCAUUGGGCCAUCAUCUUUAAAGUAGUCUCAUCUAUGUUCCGAGGAAGGUGCACAGAAUUCUAUUUUGUGUGCACAAGAUAGCUAUUUCUUCUUCUGGGGGAACACUUUAUUUUCAGAGAAAGCCUUAUAUCUCUUAUGCUUUUCACUGAAAAAAACUAAAUAUGUUCUGAUUUUGUAGAAAACUCAGCUACUAUUACUGUCUUCAGAAAAGUGCCCAAUUUUGUGGUUUAUUUCGCAGAAAGGCAUAGCUGGAUGUAGGAAAUGAUUAUAGAAGUGUAAUGUGCCCACUAUCAAAUUCCAGACCUAAACAGAAUUCAAGACAUCCACAAAGCAACAGGACUUUUUUAUCACUACACCUGAUAAGGAAGCAAAUUCCCAUUUAAGUCUACAAAUGCAGGUGUUCCUUGCCUGGUUUUGAUUAUUUCCAGAAACAUAAAUAACUAUUUACUGGGAUAUUCAUGCUUUGCUAUGCCUUGCCAGUGAUUUGUGUUGAUAAGUAAAGAUACACAGUUGGCCAUUUGUACUAGAUAAUUCCUCCUGAAUAAGAGUAUCUGUUCUUGAUAUCCAAUAUGAAGAGACUGUAAUAAGUACGAACUAACCAUAGGCUACCAACGACAAUGAACCAAGUUGUCAAAGACUAGAGUAAUUUUAUCUUUCCUUGAGAAUUACAAAUGCUUUUCAUAAGAAAAACUAUUUUUUAUUUACAAACCUGAAUUUGUUUGGCGAUUUUUGAGGACGUCUGUAUGUGCCUCAUGAAAAACAGCUGGUAUAUGUUGAAAUAAAUGUCAAAAUACAAUAUUUUAUUGCUGUUUUAGCAUACAUGAUUGUUUGCCAAAAAAUCAUGUUUUUCAUUUGACAAAAUUAACCUUCUUAUUAUAAAUGGAAGAUGCUAUGAUUCCAGAUAUUUGUUAGAUUCAAUUCAAUAAAUACUCAAAAUUAUUUAUGUUAUUCAGGGAAGGAGAUCUAGGACAGAACUUUAAAAGAAGUUAGGCCUUUGUGCUGAGAGCGCUACUGUCUAAAUGAGAAUCACUUCAGUAGCAGUUAGGUGAAUAUUAAGGAUGAACUUCACUUCUCUGGCCCCAAAAUGAAAUAUUCUCAAAAGGAAGGCUAACUAAAAUGAUUCAAAUUUCGAAGAAGAUUUAUUUAUGUAUAUAUUAAGGUUUGUGUGUGUGUGUUUCGGGGAUAUUUUAAUAUAAAUAUGCAUUUCUAGUGGUGAGAGUUAAUUGCAACUAGUACAAACUUCCAUUUUAAAGAAUAUUAUGCAGAGAGCACAUGGGCACAGGGAGGGGAACAUCACACACUGGGACC